This 253-nucleotide ribosomal RNA is filed under the name uncultured bacterium. RNAcentral describes it as "partial 16S ribosomal RNA". It matches the Rfam family "Bacterial small subunit ribosomal RNA", at positions 524 to 776 of the family's 1533-position model. The record is from RNAcentral.
UACGGGGGGAGCAAGCGUUGUUCGGAAUUACUGGGCGUAAAGGGCUCGUAGGUGGCCAACUAAGUCAGACGUGAAAUCCCUCGGCUUAACCGGGGAACUGCGUCUGAUACUGGAUGGCUUGAGUGUGGGAGAGGGAUGCGGAAUUCCAGGUGUAGCGGUGAAAUGCGCAGAUAUCGGGAAGAACACCCGUGGCUAAGGCGGCUCUCUAGUACGGUACUGACGCUGAGACGCGAAAGCGUGGGGAGCGAACAGG